GAGACACUGACACGCCGGCAGCAUGAUGAUGAUGUCACUGAUUCUACUGCUGGCCACCCUGGGGCUCCUUGUUCAGGGUUCAUCAGGAGAAAUCAUCCUGACUCAGUCUCCUGGAUCUCAGUCUGUUGCUCCAGGACAGUCUGUCUCUAUCAGAUGUAAAGCCAGUUCUAGUGCUGGUACUUGCCUAAACUGGUACCUUCAGAAACCUGGAGAAUCUCCUAAACUUUUGAUUUAUUAUGCUACAAGUCGUCACACUGGAGUUUCCGACCGUUUCAGUGGAAGUGGAUCUGGAACUGACUUCACUCUGACCAUCAGUGGAGUUCAGACUGAAGAUGGAGGAGAUUAUUAUUGUCAGCAGUGUUACAGCUACCCGUUCACACAGUGAUACAACGUCGUACAAAAACCUCCUCAGCUGGAGAGGAACUGAUCUGACUCAACAGCUGCACACAAACUACACCACUACAUGAUUUAUUAACAUACAUUUAUAAGUUAGAUCACAAUAACACUUUCAGCAUGAACACAUUUUG
Non-coding RNA from Perca fluviatilis (European perch), 527 nucleotides. NCBI's taxonomy places the organism in Eukaryota, Metazoa, Chordata, Actinopteri, Perciformes, Percidae. The record is from the annotation of a RefSeq genome assembly.